ACAACAUCUUUGAGUUCAUGAAUCCUGACGAUUAUCGGGAAGCUAUUAGGAUCUUGGAGAGUGCCAUUCUGUCAACCGAUUUGGCUAUCUACUUCAAGAAGAGGAAUGACUUCUUCAAGCUGGUUGAAAAAGGAGAGCACACGUGGGACAAUGAGGAAAAGAAGGGACUGCUCAGGGGUAUGCUAAUGACGGCAUGUGAUGUGUCUGCUAUAGCCAAGCCAUGGCGAGUCCAACAGAAAGUUGCCGAGUUGGUCUUCAGUGAAUUCUUUGAGCAAGGUGAUUUGGAGAGAGAGAAACUCAAAGAAGAACCAAUGGCGAUGAUGGAUCGCAAGAAGAAGGAUGAACUCCCUAAGAUGCAAGUGGGUUUCAUUGAUGGUAUCUGCAUGCCUGUCUACAAGAUGUUCGCUGAGCUGUGGCCAGACCUAAAACCGCUCGCAUCCGGAACUCAGCUCAACCGUGAUAACUGGCAAGCAUUGUCUGAAGGAAAAGAGCCAAAUGAACUUUGCUGAAUUUGAGCCGGCCCUAAGGCCGCUGCAGGAUGGGGUUGAGCAGAAUCGCCAGGAAUGGAAGAACCUGGCGGACCGCUACGAGCAAGCUAAGUCCCAAGACCCGAGGGAUAAUAAAGACUAACUCCCCUAUGUGCUGGAAUCUGCUUACACCUGCACACACAGAUGCAGACCUUCUUACUGGGGACCUCCAUGUAACUCCCUCCAAACAAGCAAACAAAUGGAAAGCACAAUUCUCCGGAAUGACAAUGCCCAACUGGCCAACCUUGCUGAAAAGCCUUCAUUGGAAUCCAUGUCAAAACAGGAUGGAAGUAGGGGUUCUUGCACCAGUGAGCCGAAGAAACGGGGUUCACAAAUGAGCCAACAAUGUAAGGAAGCCUUGGCAGCUAAGAAAAAUAAGAGCUCCCUUUGUUCAGUAAUUUGAUCUCGGCUUUAAACCAAUCAUUUGAAUCUCAAAAGUAUUAUCCAGAUAUCAUUAUAAAAUAUUAUAUUCAAUUUAUUCACAGUUUUUUGUUCAAAUUUGUGAAUGAUUAGCAUAAGUACAUGUAUGCUAUAUUAUUCAUUUUACAUCACUUCCAAGAGAUUAUAUUUGAUAUCUUAUUUCAUAUUUUUCAAGACUUUACAACAAUGCUGCCAAUAAUAGCAUAUUCAUAUGUGAUCAAAAUGUUAUGCAAUCUAUUGUUCAAUCCCAAUGAUUUAUUUUAAUUGGUGAAAAAUGUAUUUUGAUCAUCAUGGGUUUUAUUUUAAUAAUUGAAUAAUAAAAAUAUAAAUGAUUACUAUGUGAAACGGUCACUUAAAUUAAUAAUAAAUUGAUAUAUAGAUGAACCUUUAUAGCCAAAUUAGAUAGCAAUAUAAAACUUUUGUUAUUUCUAAUGAAAUAUCAGUCAGUUUGGAGUUUAUUUUUGUUGAUCUGACUCCAGCAUUAGGUAAGGAUGAUAUUGAACAUGAAAAUUGCAGAUGUUUUAUCUAAGAAAGGCAUGUCCAUUUCACUGUUAUUGGAUAUAAUAAUGAAAAUACUUUGUACUAUUUAUGUGGGUUGGAACACAACUCAGGCAAGUUUAUGAAAAGCAGUUCAACUCCAUGUGUUGCAUGCACAAAUUCAGAUCCAUUUUAUAUGGUAAUAUUCCAAUUUCAUUACACUCAGAAAUUAUGGAUUCGGCAUUCUGAAUAUGAGUAAUUUGAGUUGAUUUGAUU
This is an RNA transcript of Lytechinus pictus (painted urchin), 1700 nucleotides long. It is a transcript of the gene named cGMP-specific 3',5'-cyclic phosphodiesterase-like, with no coding region annotated. NCBI's taxonomy places the organism in Eukaryota, Metazoa, Echinodermata, Echinoidea, Temnopleuroida, Toxopneustidae. The record is from RefSeq and is a predicted model, not a curated record. The transcript has 8 exons.